This 224-nucleotide ribosomal RNA is filed under the name uncultured bacterium. RNAcentral's name for it is "partial 16S ribosomal RNA". It matches the Rfam family "Bacterial small subunit ribosomal RNA", at positions 109 to 334 of the family's 1533-position model. The record is from RNAcentral.
AGUAACACGUGGGCAACCUGCCCUCAGCUUCGGGAUAACACUUGGAAACAGGUGCUAAUACCGGAUGAUAACUGAUCAUCGCAUGGUGGUUGGUUCAAAGUUUUUCGGCUGAGGAUGGGCCCGCGGCCUAUCAGCUUGUUGGUGGGGUGAUGGCCUACCAAGGAGACGACGGGUAGCCGGCCUGAGAGGGCGACCGGCCACACUGGGACUGAGACACGGCCCAG